RNAcentral lists this ribosomal RNA (465 nucleotides) under uncultured bacterium. Its description in RNAcentral is "partial 16S ribosomal RNA". It matches the Rfam family "Bacterial small subunit ribosomal RNA", at positions 28 to 507 of the family's 1533-position model. The record is from RNAcentral.
GACGAACGCUGGCGGCGUGCUUAACACAUGCAAGUCGAACGGAAAGGCCCUGCUUGCCGGGUACUCGAGUGGCGAACGGGUGAGUAACACGUGGGUGAUCUGCCCUGCACUUCGGGAUAAGCCUGGGAAACUGGGUCUAAUACCGGAUAGGAGCCAUUUUUAGUGUGAUGGUUGGAAAGUUUUUUCGGUGUAGGAUGAGCUCGCGGCCUAUCAGCUUGUUGGUGGGGUAAUGGCCUACCAAGGCGGCGACGGGUAGCCGGCCUGAGAGGGUGGACGGCCACAUUGGGACCGAGAUACGGCCCAGACUCCUACGUGAGGCAGAAGUGGGGAAUAUUGCACAAUGGGCGCAAGCCUGAUGCAGCGACGCCGCGGGGGGGAGGACGGCCUUCGGGUUGGAAACUCCUUUCGCUAGGGACGAAGCUUUUUGUGACGGUACCUAGAGAAGAAGCACCGGCUAACUACGUG